This 788-nucleotide ribosomal RNA is filed under the name Pachyolpium sp. 783048. Its description in RNAcentral is "eukaryotic LSU rRNA". It matches the Rfam family "Eukaryotic large subunit ribosomal RNA", at positions 307 to 863 of the family's 3401-position model. The record is from RNAcentral. Lineage: Eukaryota; Metazoa; Arthropoda; Arachnida; Pseudoscorpiones; Olpiidae.
CACCUAAAGCUAAAUAAGACCGAGAGACCGAUAGCAAACAAGUACCGUGAGGGAAAGUUGAAAAGCACUUUGAAGAGAGAGUUCAAGAGUACGUGAAACCGCUUGGAGGUAAACGGGUGGGGCCUCGAAAGCCUAAGGCGGUGGCGGAUUCAGUUCCGGGCAUCGGGCUCCCUGCCGGACUAAGGCCUCGCCGAGAGGAGGCCCGGUAGGGUAAAACGGCGCUCGGGGCGCACUUCUGCACCCCGUCCAUGAGGACGUCGCAACGGGUCGGAGGGCUGUCGCGGGGUCCAAGUGUCAGGUGGCCGCCUUUCCAUUCGGGACCGGCGGUGUUACAGGCAUUAUGGGAAAACCUGAGGAGCCUUCCGACCGUGGUGGAGGUAAUGCCUCGAUGUCGCUCCCGCCAGAGGGCGCGGCCCCUUGUCCCGGCACCCGUCGUGCGUGGGCGUGUCGCCUUGAGGGGCGAAGGCCCCGCAUGCGCGGGUUUCCGGGCUCGGCGUCGCGGCGGAGCCGGAGGUUGGCGACGAGUAGGUCGGUCUCCCACCCGACCCGUCUUGAAACACGGACCAAGGAGUCCAAUGCGCGUGCGAGUUCCCGGGACUUGACCAGGCCCGUGGGCGCAAUGAAAGUGAAGGUCGACCUCCGUCGUCCGAGCUGGGAUCCCCCCCUUCGUUGGAGGGCGCACCAGCGGCCCGUCCGUGCCCGGUCUCCGGCGGACGGAGCUAGAGCACGCGCCUUGGGACCCGAAAGAUGGUGAACUAUGCCUGGGCAGGGUGAAGCCAGAGGAUACU